GGCAGUGUCAGAAUGGACCUUGAGGUUUCUGUGCAAACAAGUAGGCAGUAUCUUUCACUGAGAUAGAAAAAACUGGAAGAGGACUGAGACAGUGGGGUGGUUUGAGUGAGGAGAGGAGGAUGUGGAUGGAGAAGUGAAAGUAUAUCUUCUUCAUUAGACAUCUUGAGCUUGAAAUGCCUUACGGUCACCACGUGCAGAUGAUGAGAAGGUUCUUGGAAACCUGGGUUUGGAUGCAGCGUGGAGGUCUGGGCUGGAGAUGAAGAUGAGAAGUUGUCGAUAGAGAGAGAUGAUAAUUGUGGCUGUGGAUGAGAAGCUUGCUCAGGGAGGAGAAUGUGGAGAGAGAAGAGAGACAGCCCAGGAUGAAGUUUGAGAGUCUUACUCUGUUGCCCAGGCUGGAGUGUAAUGGCAUGAUCUUGGCUCACUGCGACCUCGGCCUCCCAGAUUCAAGCGAUUCUCCUGCCUCAGCCCCCAAGGAGCUGGGAUUACAGGUAUGUGUCACCAUGUCUGCCUAAUUUUGUAUUUUUAGUAGAGAUGGGGUUUCACCAUGUUAGCCAGGCAGUCACAAACCUCUGAUCUCAGGUGAUCCAAAUGCCUCAGCUUCCCAAAGUGCUGGGAUUACAGGCAUGGAACCACCAUGCUCGGCCUAGAUUUCUUUUCUUAAAUUUUUUUUUUUCUUUUUAGAGACAAGUGUUUUGUUCUGCUAUCUUCCUCCAGAUUAACUGGGACUACAGGCACACACUACCAUGCCCAGCUAAUUUUUAGAAACUUUUUGUAGAAACAGGAUCUUGCUUUGUUGUCCAGGCUAGUCUCUAUCUCCUGACUUCCAGUAAUCCCCCAUCUGCCUUGGCCUCCUAAAGUGCUGGGAUAAAAGGUGUGAGCCACAGAAGCCGGCCUAGAUUGUGAAAUAAGACAUUUCAAAUAAAUAAGAGCAUCUCAGUUCAUUUUCCUUCCCUUUGCCCAGAGAUAGUCACCAGCUCAUUCCCUGAAGUUGGCAUGAGUUGUUUCUAAACAUGUUUAUGCAUAUAGGCUAUACAUGUAUUCAUUCAGAAAACAUGGAAAGUGUUGCUUUGUAGCUUUAAACUUUUUGUAAAUGACAUAAUAUUGUGCAUAGCCUUCUGUAACUUGCUUGUUUUCAUUCAACGUUGUGUUUGAAAUUUAUCCACAUUUGAUGUGCAGAGCACCAGUAUACAUAUAUCCACUGUUCAAUCAAUUUCAUUGUAGGCAUGUACUACAGUUGAUCAAUCCAUUCUCCUGUUGAUGGGCAGUUGGGUGAUGUCCAGUUUUCCACAAUAAAAACUGCACUGCCGUGACCAUCCGCUUGUGUGUCUUGCAUAUGCCUGGGGAGGAAUGGCCGGGUGUGUGAGCAUCUUGGGGCUCCCUGCCAUUGCCUGGCUAUAUCUGAAAGGGCGAGUUUCUGUGGCUCCACAUCCAGACUCGAGCUGGCAAUAGUCAGAUUUUGGAAUGUUUG
Long non-coding RNA from Callithrix jacchus (white-tufted-ear marmoset), 1468 nucleotides. The record is from Ensembl. Lineage: Eukaryota; Metazoa; Chordata; Mammalia; Primates; Cebidae.